This 253-nucleotide ribosomal RNA is filed under the name uncultured bacterium. RNAcentral's name for it is "partial 16S ribosomal RNA". It matches the Rfam family "Bacterial small subunit ribosomal RNA", at positions 524 to 776 of the family's 1533-position model. The record is from RNAcentral.
GACAGAGGUGCCAAGCGUUAGGCGGAAUCACUGGGCUUAAAGCGUGUGUAGGCGGAAUUGUAAGUACCUUGUGAAAUCCCACGGCUCAACCGUGGAACUGCUCGGUAUACUGCUUUUCUUGAACCACUUAGGGGCUACCGGAACAAAUGGUGGAGCGGUGAAAUGCGCAGAUAUCAGGAGGAACACCAAUGGCGAAGGCAGCUCGCUGGGACGGUACUGACGCUGAGGCGCGAAAGCGUGGGGAGCAAACAGG